Molecule: long non-coding RNA, 617 nt
Organism: Ornithodoros turicata
Lineage: Eukaryota; Metazoa; Arthropoda; Arachnida; Ixodida; Argasidae
Exons: 4
Source: RefSeq, a predicted model, not a curated record
GGACGUGUACCCAACCAACCCCUAUUGAGCCUGUCCAAUCGAGACAGAGUUCCUGUACCCAAUCACACGCUCCCACCUUACUUAGAUUUUCAGUGCGCCUUUGAUAUACGCUAACAUUUGCUUUGAGCAUCACAGUUGCUACACGAUCAUCAAAGAAAUACUUUUUCCAGUUGGUGUUCAAGGAGCUAUCUCUCAUCAUGAAGGUUCUCGCAUUUACCCUGAUGUUUUUGGCGCUUAUCUCCUUCGUGAUGUCCCUCUGCAAGAAUGAGGCAGACAGUGCUGCGGGAUGUAUCCUGACCCUGAAGGAGAGCUGGAAAUUCGACGAUGUAGAGUCCAGGGAAGAUGCUAGGGGUGUCCUGUGCUGCGCCGCAGACGACAUCGAGGGAUGUGUGCGAAGACACAUGACGGGAGGAUGUGCUGCCUUUGCGUCUGUGGUAACCGUUAGGGCUAGAGGAGCUUUCUUCAUGGGUGCAACGGGAAACCGAGAGGUUGACUUCUGUGGUGCCACACGCUCGGGUCCCCCGUGCAGUGCCCUGAAAUCUCGUUUUGGAAACUGAGCGACCAGGGCUACUUGCUUUGUAACUGUUCCGUAUAUUAAACGGGCCUUUGCUAAGCGA